UACGUAGGGUGCGAGCGCUAAUCGGAAUUACUGGGCGUAAAGCGUGCGCAGGCGGUCUGUUAAGACCGAUGUGAAAUCCCCGGGCUUAACCUGGGAACCGCAUUGGUGACUGGCAGGCUUUGAGUGUGGCAGAGGGAGGUAGAAUUCCACGUGUAGCAGUGAAAUGCGUAGAGAUGUGGAGGAAUACCGAUGGCGAAGGCAGCCUCCUGGGCCAACACUGACGCUCAUGCACGAAAGCGUGGGGAGCAAACAGG
Molecule: ribosomal RNA, 254 nt
Filed under: uncultured bacterium
Lineage: Bacteria
Description: partial 16S ribosomal RNA
Rfam family: Bacterial small subunit ribosomal RNA
Source: RNAcentral